This 266-nucleotide unclassified non-coding RNA is filed under the name Talaromyces sp. RNAcentral's name for it is "partial contains 5.8S ribosomal RNA, internal transcribed spacer 2, and large subunit ribosomal RNA". The record is from RNAcentral. Lineage: Eukaryota; Fungi; Ascomycota; Eurotiomycetes; Eurotiales; Trichocomaceae. RNAcentral also lists the same sequence under 3 other names.
AACGCACAUUGCGCCCCCUGGCAUUCCGGGGGGCAUGCCUGUCCGAGCGUCAUUUCUGCCCUCCAGCCCGGCUGGGUGUUGGGCGCUGUCCCCCCGGGGACACGCCCCAAAGGCAGUGGCGGCGCCGCGUCGGGUCCUCGAGCGUAUGGGGCUUUGUCACCUGCUCGGGAAGGACUCGUCGGCGCUGGUCUUCCUCCAGGCGACCCUUCGGGGCUCGUCUUCCUUCGGUUGACCUCGGAUCAGGUAGGGUUACCCGCUGAACUUAA